RNAcentral lists this ribosomal RNA (424 nucleotides) under uncultured bacterium. RNAcentral describes it as "bacterial SSU rRNA". It matches the Rfam family "Bacterial small subunit ribosomal RNA", at positions 355 to 796 of the family's 1533-position model. The record is from RNAcentral.
UAGGGAAUCUUGGACAAUGGGCGCAAGCCUGAUCCAGCCAUGCCGCGUGAGUGACGAAGGCCUUAGGGUUGUAAAACUCUUUCGCACGUGACGAUAAUGACGGUAACGUGAGAAGAAGCUCCGGCUAACUUCGUGCCAGCAGCCGCGGUAAUACGAAGGGGGCUAGCGUUGUUCGGAUUUACUGGGCGUAAAGCGCGUGUAGGCGGACCUGUAAGUUGGGGGUGAAAGCCCGGAGCUCAACUCCGGAACUGCCUUCAAGACUGCAGGUCUGGACUCAAGGAGAGGCGAGUGGAAUUGCGAGUGUAGAGGUGAAAUUCGUAGAUAUUCGCAGGAACACCAGUGGCGAAGGCGACUCGCUGGACUUGUAGUGACGCUGAGACGCGAAAGCGUGGGGAGCAAACAGGAUUAGAUACCCCGGUAGUCC